Molecule: microRNA, 17 nt
Filed under: Homo sapiens (human)
Lineage: Eukaryota; Metazoa; Chordata; Mammalia; Primates; Hominidae
Description: hsa-miR-4451
Source: miRBase by way of RNAcentral
UGGUAGAGCUGAGGACA